This 202-nucleotide unclassified non-coding RNA is filed under the name Hevea brasiliensis (rubber tree). The record is from RNAcentral. Lineage: Eukaryota; Viridiplantae; Streptophyta; Magnoliopsida; Malpighiales; Euphorbiaceae.
UGGAAUCUUAAUUCGUAUCAAAACAUGCAAUUUCUCUCAGUUCCAUUACUUUCCAUCUUCUUCCUACUCCACUUCAUUCUAUGGAGCAUAUGGAAGAAAUUGAAAUUAAAAACCAGCAGAGGCAACACACUAAACCUACCCCCGGGACCCCAAAAGCUACCCAUCAUAGGAAAUAUGCACCAGUUUAUUGGGUAUCUCCCCC